RNAcentral lists this ribosomal RNA (242 nucleotides) under uncultured bacterium. RNAcentral's name for it is "partial 16S ribosomal RNA". It matches the Rfam family "Bacterial small subunit ribosomal RNA", at positions 1243 to 1500 of the family's 1533-position model. The record is from RNAcentral.
UGCGAAGCGAAGCAGUGAUGUGAAGCAAAUCGCACCAAAGCCAGUCCCAGUUCGGAUAAGAGGCUGAAACUCGCCUCUUUGAAGUCGGAAUCGCUAGUAAUCGCAGAUCAGCAUGUUGCGGUGAAUACGUUCCCGGGUCUUGUACACACCGCCCGUCAAACCAUGAGAGUCACCAACACCCGAAGUCCGCCUUGGCGGCCUAAGGUGGGGGAGAUGAUUGGGUUAAGUCGUAACAAGGUAAC